RNAcentral lists this ribosomal RNA (315 nucleotides) under uncultured bacterium. RNAcentral's name for it is "bacterial SSU rRNA". It matches the Rfam family "Bacterial small subunit ribosomal RNA", at positions 32 to 335 of the family's 1533-position model. The record is from RNAcentral.
AAUCAACGCUGGCGGCGUGCCUAACACAUGCAAGUCGAACGCGAAAGUCCCGCAAGGGAUCAGUAGAGUGGCAAACGGGUGAGUAACACGUGGUGACCUGCCUUCGAGUGGGGAUAACGUCCCGAAAGGGACGCUAAUACCGCAUGACAUCCUGCCUUUGAAGAGGCGGAGAUCAAAGCUGGGGAUCGCAAGACCUAGCGCUUGAAGAGGGCCCGCGUCCGAUUAGCAGUUGGUGGGUAAUGGCUCACCAAGGCGACGAUCGGUAGCCGGCCUGAGAGGGCGGACGGCCACACUGGGACUGAGACACGGCCCAGA